AAUUAAUUUUAAAAACGUGUUGACUUUGUUAAUAGUAUUAUGUUAUAUUAAAUAGGUAGGCGUCAUUAAUAAUAUUAACGCGGGAUGGAGCAGUUCGG
RNAcentral lists this non-coding RNA (98 nucleotides) under Staphylococcus nepalensis. RNAcentral describes it as "Staphylococcus sRNA 774". It matches the Rfam family "Staphylococcus sRNA 774". From Rfam's summary of the family: Northern blot transcript confirmed in exponentially growing and stationary cells in three cultivation media. Lineage: Bacteria; Bacillati; Bacillota; Bacilli; Caryophanales; Staphylococcaceae. The record is from RNAcentral.